RNAcentral lists this ribosomal RNA (253 nucleotides) under uncultured bacterium. Its description in RNAcentral is "partial 16S ribosomal RNA". It matches the Rfam family "Bacterial small subunit ribosomal RNA", at positions 524 to 776 of the family's 1533-position model. The record is from RNAcentral.
UACAGAGGGUGCGAGCGUUAAUCGGAGUGACUGGGCGUAAAGGGCACGUAGGCGGCGCUGUUAGUCUGAUGUGAAAGACCUGGGCUUAACCUGGGAUGUGCAUUGGAAACGGCAACGCUAGAGUUUGGGAGAGGGAAGUGGAAUUUCCGGUGUAGCGGUGAAAUGCGUAGAGAUCGGAAAGAACACUCGUGGCGAAGGCGACUUUCUGGCCCAAAACUGACGCUGAGGUGCGAAAGCGUGGGGAGCAAACAGG